AGCUCUGUAAGCGUAUACCAAAGUUGUUGCAGUUAAAACGCUCGUAGUCGAAUUUUGGUGUGAGUUAUGGAGACUCCUACUGGAUGUUGAAGUAACUUCGCCUUUGUGGAGGGGGGUGUGGUGGUACUUUAUUGUAUUGCUGCAUUUCCGCCACUGUUUACUGUGAAAAAAUUAGAGUGUUCAAAGCGAGCGUUUGCCAUGAAUACAUUAGCAUGGAAUAAUAGAAUAGGACCUGGUUCUGUUUUAUUGGUUUGUCUGUAUCAGGUAAUGAUUAACAGGGACGGUCGGGGGUAUUUGUAUUCCAGCGUUAGAGGUGAAAUUCUUGGAUCGCUGGAAGACAGACAGCUGCGAAAGCGUCUACCAAGGACGUUU
This 372-nucleotide ribosomal RNA is filed under the name uncultured eukaryote. RNAcentral describes it as "SSU rRNA". It matches the Rfam family "Eukaryotic small subunit ribosomal RNA", at positions 587 to 969 of the family's 1831-position model. The record is from RNAcentral.